Physella acuta is the source of this 1729-nucleotide long non-coding RNA. RefSeq lists it as uncharacterized. The record is from RefSeq and is a predicted model, not a curated record. Lineage: Eukaryota; Metazoa; Mollusca; Gastropoda; Physidae.
GUUACAUUUCCGUCACGCAGUAUCCAGAAUAAACAACUGGUGGCAGCCAUUUUUGUUUCGCGAUUCGACACCGAGCUUUUCAUUUACAGUUUCAUUUUUGCCUUGGCUACAAAUUCACAUGGCAUUGUCAAACAGAAGAGAGUAAUCAAGGGAUAGCAACCAAAGAAUCAAUUUCAGUAGAUCAACCAAGGAAACAUGUUCAUUUUCAACAUGCAAAGCAGAACCAUGAGGAAAAUCAAUGCUUCGCUGUUGACUUUCUAUAUACCUGGAUACUGGAUAGACUGACGCUGAAGAAGCCCUGGAUAUUAUAGUAAGCUUCAACAGGACAUGGUAAAAUACAAGCCAGCAUGGAAUAUCAGCUGUCAUCAAGAUAAGACAGGAUUUUUUAUAUCCAGACUUCUGCAAGACUGCAGUGAAAGCUACACUAGACCAGCAAGGGUCAUGAAGUUGGCCGCAGUGAAAGGUCUGUGGGCGAGAUUGCUGACCGAUAGAUGACCAACUUCUACCAAUGCCUAAUCAUCACACCACCUCUAACUAUCCAUAAGAAGCCAAUCAUGGUGUUAUUACAAUGACAUUAUGCCUUUCAUUGUAAAACUAGAUAGACAUUUCUAACAGUAAUUAUAGUCAAGGAUGUGCGUGAGAAGGUGAUGAAUGGAAUUUUUAACCUGUAUGACCCAGGAUGCCUGAUGGGUAUUAUCCAGAAUGCCAAUACAAGAUUGUAGUUGUAUACAGUAAAGAAAAGGAAUCCUAGAUAACACUAGUACUACUAGUAGGUUUUAGCAGUUGAAGAGGGAAAUCUUAUUUUUACUUAGAAUAAAAAUACUUAGAUAAUACUGCUGAUAAGAUUUAAUUUUUACAUUUUGUUUCGCAGUAGUAUAAUUGUUUUUAAAUUGCUAAAUAAACCUAGAACAUCAAAUUUAAAAUUAGUUAACUAAGGGAAGUUCACUUUUCAGGUUGCUAUACUUGAUAGCAAUGAAUUUAGAGGUGGAUUACAAAAAAAAUUUUUUUUGCUUUUUAUGAUCAAAAUUUUUCUUAGGGGUGUAUGUCUCUACUUUUAUUCCUGGUUGUUUAUUUGAUAACAUUUUCUUUGUAUAAAGUGAUAUUUAUGUGUACCAUUGCACAUUGUUCCUAAAAAUAUAAGCAUGGUAUGAUAAUAACAAUAAAAUUAUCUCUAAAACUGACAUCGCAAUAGUUUUUUCUGUUUUUCUCGCAUUUGUGUUUUUCUGUAAUUUAUAAAACCGUACGGAAUAUCUCUCAUUAAUGAGGAGUCAUAGGAGGUUCUAACUUUGCAAAAUUAUUUCAAAUACAUAUAUCUAUUGGAUGUCAAAGCAGAAUUGAGUUUGCUUUGAUAGUUUUUUUUUACCAAUUUUUUUUUUGAAUGGUAUUCAAUUUUUUCUGUGCAUUCCGAGAGCAUGUUAAGACAAAAAUUCAUAAAAAAUAAUCUAACAAAGAUUUAAAAAAAUCCCUUUGUCAUCCAAUAGACAUGUACAAUUCAAAACAACAUGUAAAGUUUAAAUACAUUCUAUCAAAUGGUUUAGAAACUAGAUUCCGCACAAAUAUAUAGUAAUAAUUGGUAUAUUUUCACCCCAGACGCGCCUAAAAUACUUAUUUUUUGUUUUUUUACUCAGAAUAAAAUUUCUAUAAGUUAGUCAAUACUUAUGUUUCUAUUAUAUAACAAAAAAUAGUACAGACACUGCCUUUUAAAUUUUUUUGCAAAUCCUCAUGACGG